This 526-nucleotide ribosomal RNA is filed under the name uncultured beta proteobacterium. Its description in RNAcentral is "bacterial SSU rRNA". It matches the Rfam family "Bacterial small subunit ribosomal RNA", at positions 383 to 902 of the family's 1533-position model. Lineage: Bacteria; Pseudomonadati; Pseudomonadota; Betaproteobacteria. The record is from RNAcentral.
CUGAUCAGCCAUGCCGCGUGAGUGAUGAAGGCCUUCGGGUUGUAAAGCUCUUUUGUCAGGGAAGAUAAUGUCUGUGCUAAUACCAUAAGCCCCUGACAGUUCCUGGACAAUAACCACCGGCUUACUACGUGCCAUCACCUUCUUCAAUACUUAUGGUGCAUAGCGUUAAUCUAAAUUACUGGGCGUAUAGCGUGUGAAAGCCCUUAUCUCAGACUGAUAUCUAAUCCCCAGACUCAACCUCUGAACUGCAUUUGAGACUGCUUGACUUCCGUGUGGAAAAGUGAAAUUCAAUUACAUGUGUAGCAAUGCCAUGCGUAAAUGUGCCUAGCAACACCGAUAGUGAAGCUAAUCCCCUGAACCUGGACUGACACUCAUGAUCAAAUGCCUGGGUAGCCCACACGAUUAAAUACCCUGGCAGUCCACCCCCUAAACUAUGUCUACUGGUUGUUGCUAAGGUUUCUUCUCUUCCACCUGGCUAACACGUGCACUUGACCGCCAGUCGAGUAAGUCCACAGGGUUGAAACUC